UACGGGAGGCAGCAGUAGGGAAUAUUGGACAAUGGGCGCAAGCCUGAUCCAGCCAUGCCGCGUGAGUGAAGAAGGCCUUAGGGUUGUAAAGCUCUUUUACCCGGGAAGAUAAUGACGGUAUCGUGAGAAGAAGCCCCGGCUAACUCCGUGCCAGCAGCCGCGGUAAUACGGAGGGGGCAAGCGUUGUUCGGAAUUACUGGGCGUAAAGGGCGCGUAGGCGGAUCGUCAAGUCAGAGGUGAAAGCCCCGGGCUCAACCCGGGAGGUGCCUUUGAAACUGACGGUCUUGAGUACGGGAGAGGUGAGCGGAAUUCCCAGUGUAGAGGUGAAAUUCGUAGAUAUUGGGAAGAACCCCAGUGGCGAAGGCGGCUCACUGGCCCGUAACUGACGCUGAGGCGCGAAAGCGUGGGGAGCAAACAGGAUUAGAUACCCUGGUAGUCCACGCCGUAAACGAUGUGUGCUAGCCGUUGGACACACAUAGCAUUUUCGGUGGCGCAGCUAACGCAUA
Molecule: ribosomal RNA, 506 nt
Filed under: uncultured Rhodovibrio sp.
Lineage: Bacteria; Pseudomonadati; Pseudomonadota; Alphaproteobacteria; Rhodospirillales; Rhodovibrionaceae
Description: bacterial SSU rRNA
Rfam family: Bacterial small subunit ribosomal RNA
Source: RNAcentral